CCCAGACUCCUACGGGAGGCAGCAGUGGGGGAUAUUGCACAAUGGGGGGAACCCUGAUGCAGCGACGCCGCGUGGGUGAAGGAGCGUUUCGGCGCGUAAAGCCCUGUCGGCAGGGAAGAAGGAGGACGGUACCUGACUAAGAAGCCCCGGCUAACUACGUGCCAGCAGCCGCGGUAAUACGUAGGGGGCAAGCGUUAUCCGGAUUUACUGGGUGUAAAGGGGGCGCAGACGGCAGCGCAAGCCAGGAGUGAAAGCCCGGGGCCCAACCCCGGGACUGCUCUUGGAACUGCGCGGCUGGAGUGCAGGAGGGGCAGGCGGAAUUCCUGGUGUAGCGGUGAAAUGCGUAGAUAUCAGGAGGAACACCGGUGGCGAAGGCGGCCUGCUGGACUGCGACUGACGUUGAGGCCCGAAAGCGUGGGGAGCAAACAGGAUUAGAUACCCCAGUAU
RNAcentral lists this ribosomal RNA (447 nucleotides) under uncultured bacterium. RNAcentral's name for it is "partial 16S ribosomal RNA". It matches the Rfam family "Bacterial small subunit ribosomal RNA", at positions 330 to 793 of the family's 1533-position model. The record is from RNAcentral.